This 251-nucleotide ribosomal RNA is filed under the name Vibrio alginolyticus. RNAcentral's name for it is "partial 23S ribosomal RNA". It matches the Rfam family "Bacterial large subunit ribosomal RNA", at positions 1411 to 1662 of the family's 2925-position model. Lineage: Bacteria; Pseudomonadati; Pseudomonadota; Gammaproteobacteria; Vibrionales; Vibrionaceae. The record is from RNAcentral.
GUAGUCGAUGGGAAACGGGUUAAUAUUCCCGUACUUCUUACAAUUGCGAUGGGGGGACGGAGAAGGCUAGGUGGGCCUGGCGACGGUUGUCCAGGUUCAAGUGCGUAGGCUGAGAAAUUAGGUAAAUCCGGUUUCUCUUAAGGCUGAGACACGACGUCGAGCUACUACGGUAGUGAAGUCAUUGAUGCCAUGCUUCCAGGAAAAGCCUCUAAGCUUCAGAUUGUAAGGAAUCGUACCCCAAACCGACACAG